This 253-nucleotide ribosomal RNA is filed under the name uncultured bacterium. Its description in RNAcentral is "partial 16S ribosomal RNA". It matches the Rfam family "Bacterial small subunit ribosomal RNA", at positions 524 to 776 of the family's 1533-position model. The record is from RNAcentral.
UACAGAGGGUGCUAGCGUUGUUCGGAAUCAUUGGGCGUAAAGCGUGCGUAGGCGGUCCGCGAAGUCUGAUGUGAAAGCCCCGGGCUCAACCUGGGAACUGCAUUGGAAACUAACGGGCUCGAGUGUGGCAGAGGGGGGUGGAAUUCCACGUGUAGCAGUGAAAUGCGUAGAGAUGUGGAGGAACACCGAUGGCGAAGGCAGCCCCCUGGGCUGAGAUUGACGCUCAGGCACGAAAGCGUGGGGAGCAAACAGG